Oreochromis niloticus (Nile tilapia) is the source of this 3678-nucleotide RNA transcript. It is a transcript of the gene named methylenetetrahydrofolate dehydrogenase (NADP+ dependent) 1b, with no coding region annotated. NCBI's taxonomy places the organism in Eukaryota, Metazoa, Chordata, Actinopteri, Cichliformes, Cichlidae. The transcript has 29 exons. The record is from RefSeq and is a predicted model, not a curated record.
UUGGUUUGUGGACAGAGUCUACGCUGUUACCGUCGUUUUCCGACUCACUUUGAAGAAACUUUUUCAAAGUAGUUAUUACCACUUGCGGACCACGCUCCUCUACUUGUAAGUCAGUGAGGGUGCAGACCAGCUACUACAGUCACCAGAAGAGCAGAGACCAUCCCAGGGAAAGAUGCCAGCUCAGAUCAUAAGCGGCAAAGAGGUUUCAGCGCAGGUGAGGGAGCGUCUGAAGGAGGAUGUUGAGCAGAUGAAACUUAAGAAUCCCAACUUCAGGCCUGGUCUAGUGGUUUUACAGGUUGGAGACCGCGAUGAUUCAAAUCUGUACAUCAGCAUGAAGCUCAAAGCAGCAGCAGAGAUUGGAAUAAAUGCAAUGCAUAUGAGACUUCCCACGACCGCAACAGAGGAGGAGAUUCUUCAUAGUAUCACAGAGGUGAACGAGAACUCUUCUGUCCACGGCCUCAUCGUUCAGCUGCCUUUAGAUUCAGUCCACGAAAUCAACACCGAGAAGAUCACGAACGCCGUGGCCCCAGAGAAGGACGUAGAUGGACUGACCAGCAUAAAUGCGGGGAAGCUGUCCCGUGGGGAUCUGGGCGACUGCUUCAUCCCCUGCACGCCAAAUGGCUGCAUGGAGUUAAUCAAACAGACGGGUGUUUCUGUGGCAGGGAAGAGAGCGGUCGUGAUUGGGCGCAGUAAGAUUGUGGGCGCACCCAUGCAUGAUUUGCUGCUGUGGAAUCACGCCACCGUCACCACCUGCCACUCUAAAACCGCCGAUCUUGCCGCAGAGGUGGGUAGAGCAGACAUCCUGGUUGUUGGUAUCGGAAAAGCAGAGAUGGUAAAAGGAGAGUGGAUCAAGAAGGGAGCAGUGGUCAUUGACUGUGGCAUCAACCACGUUAUAGAUGACAGUAAAUCCAGCGGAAAGCGUGUGGUGGGCGACGUCCAUUUUCAGUCAGCCAAAGAGCAGGCCGGCUUCAUCACCCCUGUGCCCGGUGGUGUGGGACCGAUGACUGUGGCCAUGCUGAUGGCGAACACCGUGCUGAGUGCAAAGCGUUUCCUGGAGAGCCAUCAGGCAGGAAAGUGGAACAUUUCUUACACCGCGCUCAAUCUCCAAAAGCCAGUGCCAAGUGACAUAGUGAUUUCUCGCUCCUGCGCAGCCAAGUCCAUUGAUAGUCUGGCCAGAGAAGUGGGAUUACUUUCUGAUGAAGUAGAGCUCUAUGGCAAGACUAAGGCAAAGGUCCAGCUGACUAUCAUCAAGCGCCUUCAGUCCCGGCCAGAUGGAAAAUAUGUAGUGGUCACUGGCAUUACUCCCACUCCUCUGGGUGAAGGUAAGAGCACCACAACCAUCGGCCUGGCACAAGCCAUGGGUGCUCACAUGAAGCUCAAUGUGUUUGCUUGUGUCCGACAGCCUUCUCAGGGACCCACGUUCGGUAUUAAAGGUGGUGCUGCAGGAGGUGGAUAUUCUCAAGUUAUUCCGAUGGAAGAGUUUAAUCUCCAUCUCACUGGUGACAUUCAUGCCAUCACAGCUGCCAAUAACUUGGUGGCGGCUGCUAUUGAUGCCCGCAUAUUCCAUGAAGCAACCCAAUCUGACAAGGCUCUGUAUAACCGUUUGGUGCCACUCAGUGGAAGAGAGAGGAAGUUCUCCCCGAUCCAGAUCAACAGACUCAAAAAACUGGGAAUAGAGAAGACGGAGCCUUCUGCUCUCACUGAGGAGGAGAUCAACCACUUCGCCCGCCUGGACAUCGACCCAAGCUCUGUUACCUGGCAGAGAGUGCUGGAUACUAAUGAUCGAUUCCUGAGGAAGAUCACGAUCGGCCAGUCGCCCACUGAAAAGGGAUACACAAGAGAGGCCCAGUUUGACAUCACUGUGGCCAGCGAAAUCAUGGCGGUGCUUGCCCUCACCAGCAGCCUGGAGGACAUGCGGCAGCGCCUGGCUAAGAUGGUCGUAGCCACCAGUCGGAGGGGAGAUCCCAUCACCACCGAGGAUCUGGGCGUGAGUGGCGCUCUGACUGUGCUGAUGAAAGAUGCCAUCAAGCCAAACCUGAUGCAGACGUUGGAGGGGACUCCUGUGUUUGUUCAUGCUGGCCCCUUUGCCAACAUCGCCCACGGAAACUCAUCAAUCCUGGCUGAUAAAAUUGCUUUGAAGCUGGUUGGACCUGAGGGCUUUGUAGUGACAGAAGCUGGCUUCGGUGCUGACAUCGGCAUGGAGAAGUUCUUCAACAUCAAGUGCCGCUACUCGGGCCUGAGGCCUCAUGUGGUGGUGUUGGUGGCGACCAUCCGAGCUCUAAAGAUGCACGGAGGAGGACCAACAGUCACUGCUGGGAUGCCACUGCCUAAGGAAUAUGUGGAAGAGAACCUUAAUCUGCUGGAGAAGGGCUGCAACAACAUGAGGAAGCAGAUCGAAAAUGCAAAGCACUUUGGCGUGCCUGUGGUGGUAGCAGUGAAUGCUUUCAAGACAGACACGGAUGCUGAGCUGGACUUGGUGUGCACCAUGGCUAAAGCUGCUGGAGCAUUCGAUGCCGUGCGAUGCUCUCACUGGGCCGAGGGUGGCGCUGGUGCUGUGGCACUUGGUGAGGCUGUCCAGAAGGCCUCUAGCGCCCCUAGCAACUUCAAGUUCCUGUAUGAUUUGGACCUUCCUAUUGCUGAUAAGAUUCGAAUAAUUGCUCAGAAGAUCUAUGGAGCAGAUGAUAUUGAGCUUCUGGCUGAGGCCCAACACAAGGUGGCGCUCUACACCAAGCAGGGAUUCGCGAAUCUUCCAAUUUGCAUGGCAAAGACCCACCUGUCACUGUCACAUGAAGCAGAAAAGAAAGGUGUGCCCAAAGGAUUCAUCCUGCCAAUCAGAGACAUCAGAGCCAGUGUGGGCGCUGGCUUUCUGUUCCCGUUGGUUGGCACAAUCUGCAGUCGUAUUCAAGCUUAUAUGUCACUGACGUUUCUACCCAGUCAAUCUAGUUAUCCUUGGAUACUUGGAACAUCAUAACUAAAAAGAAAAUGGCAUGCUACACUAAAAUUGUUUUCAGAUUUGGAGUUGGCAAGUAAAAGUUGUUGAAGUGCAGAUGCCCACCAUCCCUGGCCUCCCCACUCGGCCUUGUUUCUAUGACAUCGACCUGGACCCCGAGACUGAACAGGUCAAUGGACUCUUCUGAGGGACAAAAAAAAAAAGGUCCUCACACCCUUUGAUGACAUUUCCCAUCAGCCCUCUGAGCGCCAAAGAAAUGUGAAGAAGAACCAACUGGAAGCACCUCAAACUCGUCUGCUGUUUUUGUUGUUUCUCAUAUUGACCGUCUGUAAAGCUGCUAAUGAUAGACCGGGACAGUCUUUCUCCCUGCUAUCAGGCACGUGUUAUUCCGUUAUAUUGCUGGCUGAACAUACACAUUUCACACCUCAGAUUGCCCAGGCUGUAUUUACUAACUACUUGUGUAUAUUUUGUGAGCACCACACCAAAGGCAUUUCCUUCAGUUCAAUCUUUAACAAGCUGUGCCCUUCGUCAGGCCAGGACUCUUCGAAAUGCUGCCUUAAAACAAAAUUAUAAUUUGUUUAAUCCCAUCUCCUUUCUCUGUCUUUGUUUUAAUUAACACUCUAACAUUUUUCGAAAAGUCGCCAUCAUUGCCGUGGAGCUCAAUGGCCAUGUCAUUGUAAAAUCAGUGAUUUCCUCAUAUCUUUGAAAUAAAGGCUUGUUAAAAGAAA